UAGGGAAUCUUCGGCAAUGGGGGGAACCCUGACCGAGCAACGCCGCGUGAGUGAAGAAGGUUUUCGGAUCGUAAAGCUCUGUUGUUAAGGAAGAACGAGUGUGAGAAUGGAAAGUUCAUGCUGUGACGGUACUUAACCAGAAAGGGACGGCUAACUACGUGCCAGCAGCCGCGGUAAUACGUAGGUCCCGAGCGUUGUCCGGAUUUAUUGGGCGUAAAGCGAGCGCAGGCGGUUAGAAAAGUCUGAAGUGAAAGGCAGUGGCUCAACCAUUGUAGGCUUUGGAAACUGUUUAACUUGAGUGCAGAAGGGGAGAGUGGAAUUCCAUGUGUAGCUGUGAAAUGCGUAGAUAUAUGGAGGAACACCGGUGGCGAAAGCGGCUCUCUGGUCUGUAACUGACGCUGAGGCUCGAAAGCGUGGGGAGCGAACAGG
RNAcentral lists this ribosomal RNA (429 nucleotides) under Bacteroidota bacterium. RNAcentral describes it as "Bacteroidetes bacterium partial 16S ribosomal RNA". It matches the Rfam family "Bacterial small subunit ribosomal RNA", at positions 355 to 776 of the family's 1533-position model. The record is from RNAcentral. Lineage: Bacteria; Pseudomonadati; Bacteroidota. RNAcentral also lists the same sequence under 1 other name.